UAAUUUGUUUUGAAGACAGUGACAAAAAGAAAAACAAAGUUUAACUUUCUCAAGGUAAUGCUUUUAAUGAAGAGUUGAACGUUGCAAUUUAGCAUUUGGGAUUCUCUGUAAGACUUCAAAAUUCUACCCUGUUAAAAUUUUUGUUUUGUUCUAUACAACAUUUAAUGCCCAAUUUUGUGUGGCUCUGAGAAUAAUGUUAAGAAUUCAAGAUCCCUCCAGUGGCUGAAAAUUUAAAGUAAUAUAAGAAUGAAAUGAUAUGACCUGUGAAUUAGCCUGGUUUCUAAAAAGCAUCAAUUCACAGAACAUAAACAAAAUAAACUAAGCAGGCCUUAAAUUGGAUUUAGUCUUGAGCAAUAAACAGAAAAAUUUACUCACAAGUUAAAAGUAUCCAAUGGAGAGAUGUCAGAUGUCUUUUAUUUAAAAAUGCUUCUUCAUCACAUUUACAUG
RNAcentral lists this long non-coding RNA (447 nucleotides) under Bos taurus (domestic cattle). RNAcentral's name for it is "long non-coding RNA NONBTAT018295". The record is from RNAcentral. Lineage: Eukaryota; Metazoa; Chordata; Mammalia; Artiodactyla; Bovidae.